RNA transcript from Gossypium arboreum, 3568 nucleotides. RefSeq lists it as uncharacterized. The record is from RefSeq and is a predicted model, not a curated record. Lineage: Eukaryota; Viridiplantae; Streptophyta; Magnoliopsida; Malvales; Malvaceae. The transcript is spliced from 14 exons.
CGAUAAAUCUUCCAAAAACUCAAAAUUUUUUUUUUUCAAAAAUUCCCAACAAUCUCUUACUAUGGCCUUUCACGUAGCUUGCCCAAUUACAUGUCGGCGAAUUUGCUUUUGUUCGCUAGGGUUUCCUCGGAAUCUCCAUUCUCCCGAUUCCAAGCAUGACUUCUUGCAGGAACUGAUUCGAGUGGAGGCGUUUUUGAAAGAUCCAUUGGGCGUUUCGGUUUCUCCAGAAAGGACUGUGCAGGUUCGCGUACCUAAAGUAACGCCGGUUCCGGCUGGGGAUGGAGGAGAUGGCGUUGAUGCCGUGGAGGAUUCGGCCUCGGUUUUGGCGGCUCAGUCAAAGAGGCUCGUGCUUCAGAGAAAAGCUGCUGCUGAGGUUUAUGCUAGGAAGGUUGAGCCGGGUGAUAUUGCGGUUGCAUCAAUAGAUUCUGCUCUACAAGAGCAAGGCCAGUCAAACAAAACUGUAACUUGUCACAUGUGCUUUUCGGGUGAAAAUGAAGGAAGUGAGAGGGCAAGAAGGAUGCUCGCAUGUCGAAAUUGUGGCAAGAAGUACCAUAGAAGCUGCUUGAAAUCUUGGGUUCAACAUAGAGAUUUGUUUCAUUGGAGUUCCUGGACUUGCCCCUAUUGUCGAACCUGUGAGGUGUGCCGAAGUACUGGAGAUCCAACUAAGCUCAUGUUUUGCAAAAGGUGUGAUGGUGCAUACCAUUGCUAUUGUCAACAUCCAUCACACAAGAAUGUUACCUCUGGGCCAUAUUUGUGCCCAAAGCAUACAAAGUGUCACAGCUGUGGAUCCAAUGUCCCCGGAAAUGGUUCAAGUGUGCGGUGGUUCUUGGAAUACACUUGUUGUGAUGCUUGUGGAAGGUUGUUUGUGAAGGGAAAUUAUUGCCCUGUAUGUUUGAAGGUUUAUAGAGACUCAGAAUCGACACCCAUGGUCUGCUGUGAUGUUUGCCAGCGCUGGGUGCACUGCGAGUGUGAUGGCAUCAGUGAUGAAAAAUAUCUUCAGUUCCAAGUAGAUGCAAAUCUCCAGUAUAAAUGUGCAGCAUGUCGUGGGGAGUGCUACCAGGUUACAGAUCUUGAGGAUGCUGUUCAAGAGCUUUGGAAGAGGAGAGACAGAACUGAUCAGGACCUUAUUGCUAGCUUGAGGGCUGCUGCAGGGCUGCCAACUCAAGAAGAAAUAUUCUCUAUCUCUCCAUAUUCUGAUGAUGAGGAAAAUGGUCCUGUGAUGUUUAAAAAAGAAUUUGUGCGUUCCCCGAAGUUCUCUCUCAAAGGGAUAGCUGACAAGCUUCUGAAGAAGAACAAGGAAUAUGGAAAGGAGUCUUCAAGCAAAAAAUAUCUUAAGAAAAAGACAUACCAGGCAUCUUUAAUUAGCAAAGGAGAGUCACAGCUGAGUUUUGAAGGGAAUCAGGAUAUUCAAUCUCAAGGAUAUAGUGUGAGUGAGUACAGGAUCGAUGAAGUUGCAAUCCAGAGAGAUGAAGGACAAAAUAUUUCUUCUCCUGUUACUGAAACGUGUUCUACUAAUCAGCCAGGGAUUUUGAAAAACAAGCUGGUAGAUGAGGUGAUGGUUAGUGAUGAAGAUAGAAAAUCACGUGUACUUAAAAUUAAAAGUAACAAGCCACAUGAUUUAGAUAGUGGAGAUGAUAAACAUGAUAGCAAGUCAAAUACUUUGAAAGCAAAGAAGUUAGUCAUAAAUCUAGGUUCACGAAAAAUAAAUGUUACCAAUUCCCCAAAGCCUGAUGCUUCAAACUCUCAAAGAGAACGAGAUGUGAUUUCUUACAAUGGUGUUCAAGAUGCAAAUAAACAGAGUUACAAGUUUAUGCUGGAUAAGCAUGACAAUACUGCUAAAUCUGGUGAUGGAUACAAAGUUUAUCAAUCCAAGUCAAGAAGGGUGAAAACUGCGGGAAAAGAAGGGAAUGUGAUGAAGUUUGGAAAAAUUAAGCCAGAAUCUCCUGAACUGGGGCCCAAAGUCGGUGCAGCAAGCAGUUCUGAUGGAUAUGAAAUUGGCCCUCCUGAACAGCCACGAGUUGCAUCUGGAAAAGGAAGCAUUGAUGUAACUAGGCUUGAUGCUGCACCGUCAGGUGAGGCGUCCAUCCUAAGAGGGGGCAAGGUGAUGUUGAGAAAGUGCUUCGAAGACAGGGCUGAUACGAAUGGUGAAAGUAAUGAAGAUUUUGGUCACACACCUGUCUUGAAAUCUUUUCCAAAAGAUUCCAAACUGUCUCUCAAGUUUAAAUUGAAGAAACCUGAUCUUGAUAAUCAGAAUUCUAAGGUUCAUCCUGUGGAAGAAAAAAGUUCUAUAAAGGGCCAAAGGUCAAAAAGGCAGAGACCAUCAACCUUUGUGGAAAAAUCGUUGUUUAAUGUAGAUGAAGAUCUUGAUGUCACACACACGCAUCAAAACAGCAUAAUGGAUGGCAUGAUGGAUGCUAAUUGGAUAUUAAAGAAGUUGGGUAAAGAUGCAAUUGGAAAGAAAGUUGAGAUUCAUCACGCCUCUGACAAUUCAUGGCAUAAAGGAGCUGUUCAUGACAUCAUUGAAGGCACAUCCACAGUAUCUGUGAUGCUAGAUGAUGGUAGAGUAAAAAGCUUGGAACUUGGGAAGCAAGGCAUUCGUUUUGUUCUUCAAAAACAAAAGAGAAGCAAAUUUUGAAACUGAACGGUCUAAUCUAAUUCUUUGUGAGUGGAUUGUGGAGAUUUUUCCAUUUCUGGAUGUGGCGGUGCUCAGGCAGUUGCUGUUCUUUUCUUUAUAUUAAUUUUCCUCAGCUUUGCACUGAUGCUACUUUAUAUCAUCGGGAUGCCUUUUUACUGCACUUGCAGAUGAAAACAAAUAACUUAAGCAACCCAUUCAACCACAGUUGGGGGUGGUAGGUCCCAUAGCAACCAGAAUCCAUCACGAGCAUCUGGAUCCAAGCCUCUUGGAUGGCGAAGAAAUGUAAGCCUUUGCAUGCCUUCUUUACAGCUUCCUGAGCCUCAUCUUCACUUGUAGUUAUAGGAGAUUUCUUGAAGGUUGCAUGAACAUAGCUGGUAGAAUUUCCAAAAGAUAGGAUCAGGCAAACACCUGUGGUGUUGACUUCUACCGAACAGACUUCCAGUCCAGAUUUCGUCAAAGCUGCAAAAACCAAUGCUUCUAGAGGAGCUGGACAGACCAAAUGAGAGUUCAACAAUGAUGGAAGCGAUUUGAUAUUCGCAGCAGCAGUGGCAGCCACUGCAGUUGCUCAGUUGCUGGGAUGCAGUGGGGGAAGGCGCUAAAACCUGGCACAGCAGAGGCUGAGUAGUAUGCUUCUGUUUGUCACCAUGCCAACUACCAAGAUCUUUUUAACAAGUGGGGCUCUGCUGAUAGUUUGGUGGUGGCCUAUUCACUAUGGCUGAAUGGCACAACUUAUUAGUGCUUGUAAUUUCAUAAUCUUGGAAAAACUUAAAUUUCUUUGUUACUAGUUCUGAUGAUCACAGUCUGCUGAGAAGGGGAUUUUGAAGGCAUAAAAGAAAGAGUAUAUAUAUGUAUAUGAACUAAAUUAAGCAUGUAUAACAUUAAAUAAGUAUCCAUAUAUAUAAAUCGUAAAGUAUGAAUUUACGUAAGUAAGAA